Molecule: long non-coding RNA, 830 nt
Organism: Rhododendron vialii
Lineage: Eukaryota; Viridiplantae; Streptophyta; Magnoliopsida; Ericales; Ericaceae
Exons: 3
Source: RefSeq, a predicted model, not a curated record
AGCCACCAAGAGUUUUUGUUCCUGCAUCUUUUUCCUAACGUUUUGGGUUUGUCUAGAUCACGGUACACAUCAUACACCAUUUCAUCUUCUGAUCUGUUGGUGCCUUGCUGCUGUUGGCCGAAUCGACGAGGAGUCUUUUCGGAGCCAGUUGAAUCCUGAGAUCAAACUUGAGGUUCAUGGACUUAUGUUGAAUCUUAAAGAAGCUCGGGGAGCAUCGCAAGCUGGCGAGUAUAGGUAACGCUUGCGGGUAGAAUCAAGCUCAACAUUUAUGGAUGUUGGCACCAACUCAACAGAAAUGCAAGCUUUGGAGGACUAUUCAGAGAUGAAUGAGGAGAAAGGAUUCUGGGAUAUUAUGGAAAAGCCGCAUGCGAGUCCAGCCUGGAAGCGGAAAUUUGGGAACUCUAUAGAGGUCUGACUAUAAUCCUGGAGAAAGGGAUAUUGACAGUAAUUGUGACUAAUCUGACUCGCAAGUGGCCUUGAAUCUACUUAACGAAGGCAAUGCAAACAACCAUUCACAGAGACUCAGAGAGAGAUGAUCAAGGAUGCUCAUGCUAUUCUAAACAGAACAAAGUCUACUUUGCAUCACAUAUUUCGGCAGGCAAAUCAAUGUGCCAAUCACAUAGCAAGAGUUGGAGCCGAACAACAAGAAGACCUGGUGGUGUUAACGGAUCAGCCACUUUCAAUGAGGGAAUUUUGGAUUAGGGAGCGUCUUAACUUAAGGCAGAUAAUAGACUAGGGUAUUGCCCGUGGCUUUUGUUUUGGACUGUAACACUUUAAACAUGUCUGAUACUCUGUUACGUUUUUCGUCCUUCGCCUAGUUAUAUAAUAUU